This 475-nucleotide ribosomal RNA is filed under the name Amanita rhoadsii. RNAcentral's name for it is "mitochondrial SSU rRNA". It matches the Rfam family "Bacterial small subunit ribosomal RNA", at positions 407 to 887 of the family's 1533-position model. The record is from RNAcentral. Lineage: Eukaryota; Fungi; Basidiomycota; Agaricomycetes; Agaricales; Amanitaceae.
ACUGAAAUCACAUGAGAUAUAAAUGUGUUAAAUGUGAUAAGGUAAGGGAAAAAUUUGAUGUUACCUUACUAUUAGUGUUGUCCAAAACUGGUGCCAGAAGACUCGGUAAGACCAGAAACGCAAACGUUAAUCGUCCUAAUCAGGCGUAAAGGGUUUGUAGGCUGCUUAUACUAUUUCUAUUUAAAAAGCUCUGAAAAAAUCAGUUAAAUAGAGAUACAAUAAAAGCUAGAAUCAAAUUGAGGAUAAGCCGAAUAAUACUUAGAGUAGGGAUGAUAUCCAAAGAUACUAAGGGGAAUACUAAAGGUGAAAGCUUUUAUCUACUAUUGAUUGACGCUGAGAAACGAAGGUGAGAAUAGGAAAUAGGAUUAGAUACCCAAAUACCUCUCACUGUCAACGAUGAAUGGUGGUUUGUUAGUUUUAAUAAAAACUGAUAACGAUGUUAACGCGAUAACCAUUCCGCCUUGCGAGUACGGUU